This 125-nucleotide ribosomal RNA is filed under the name Streptomyces sp. Amel2xC10. RNAcentral describes it as "23S rRNA. Bacterial LSU". It matches the Rfam family "Bacterial large subunit ribosomal RNA", at positions 2801 to 2925 of the family's 2925-position model. Lineage: Bacteria; Bacillati; Actinomycetota; Actinomycetes; Kitasatosporales; Streptomycetaceae. The record is from RNAcentral.
GAGAUGAGGACUCCCACCCACUUGAUGGGGUAAGGCUCCCAGUAGACGACUGGGUUGAUAGGCCGGAUCUGGAAGCACGGUAACGUGUGGAGGUGACCGGUACUAAUAGGCCGAGGGCUUGUCCU